GUGGAUAUAGCCAAGUGGUAAGGCACAGGGUUGUGGCUCCUGGUAUCGUGGGUUCGAAUCCCAUUAUCCACCCCA
This 75-nucleotide transfer RNA is filed under the name Helcococcus kunzii. RNAcentral's name for it is "tRNA-His". It matches the Rfam family "tRNA". From Rfam's summary of the family: Transfer RNA (tRNA) molecules are approximately 80 nucleotides in length. Their secondary structure includes four short double-helical elements and three loops (D, anti-codon, and T loops). The record is from RNAcentral. Lineage: Bacteria; Bacillati; Bacillota; Tissierellia; Tissierellales; Peptoniphilaceae. RNAcentral also lists the same sequence under 1 other name.